RNAcentral lists this ribosomal RNA (492 nucleotides) under uncultured bacterium. Its description in RNAcentral is "partial 16S ribosomal RNA". It matches the Rfam family "Bacterial small subunit ribosomal RNA", at positions 29 to 507 of the family's 1533-position model. The record is from RNAcentral.
AGUGAACGCUGGCGGUAGGCCUAACACAUGCAAGUCGAACGGCAGCACAGUAAGAGCUUGCUCUUACGGGUGGCGAGUGGCGGACGGGUGAGGAAUACAUCGGAAUCUACUUUUUCGUGGGGGAUAACGUAGGGAAACUUACGCUAAUACCGCAUACGACCUACGGGUGAAAGCAGGGGAUCUUCGGACCUUGCGCGAUUGAAUGAGCCGAUGUCGGAUUAGCUAGUUGGCGGGGUAAAGGCCCACCAAGGCGACGAUCCGUAGCUGGUCUGAGCGGAGGAUCAGCCACACUGGAACUGAGACACGGUCCAGACCCCUACGGGAGGAAGCGGUGGGGAAUAUUGGACAAUGGGGGCAAGCCUGAUCCAGCCAUACCGCGUGGGUGAAGAAGGCCUUCGGGUUGUAAAGCCCUUUUGUUGGGAAAGAAAAGCAGCAGGUUAAUACCCCGCUGUUCUGACGGUACCCAAAGAAUAAGCACCGGCUAACUUCGUG